This 795-nucleotide ribosomal RNA is filed under the name Providencia rettgeri. RNAcentral's name for it is "partial 23S ribosomal RNA". Lineage: Bacteria; Pseudomonadati; Pseudomonadota; Gammaproteobacteria; Enterobacterales; Morganellaceae. The record is from RNAcentral.
UAGCGGCGAGCGAACGGGGAGCAGCCCAGAGUCUUAAUCAGCAUUAGCAUCAGGAGAACGGUCUGGAAAGUCCGGCAGUAAAGGGUGAUAGCCCCGUAUCCGAAGGUGUUAGUGUUGUGAACUCGACGAGUAGGGCGGGACACGUGUUAUCCUGUCUGAAUAUGGGGGGACCAUCCUCCAAGGCUAAAUACUCCUGAUUGACCGAUAGUGAACCAGUACCGUGAGGGAAAGGCGAAAAGAACCCCGGCGAGGGGAGUGAAAUAGAACCUGAAACCGUGUACGUACAAGCAGUGGGAGCCCCAUCACUCAAGUGCCUCGGCAAUUGAGUGAUGGUGUAAAACCAUCACAAUAACAGCGCAGGAUUUGCCAACAAGAUUGGCUGAUUUUUUCAAGCCGCAGCGCAGUGGACAUCGAAGUCCAUGAGCAGCGGAAGUUAAAAAAUCGGGCAAGAUUGGCCGCAAAGCCAAGCGGGACAUUUGAGGAUGGGGUGACUGCGUACCUUUUGUAUAAUGGGUCAGCGACUUAUAUUCUGUAGCAAGGUUAACCGWAUAGGGGAGCCGUAGGGAAACCGAGUCUUAACUGGGCGAAUAAGUUGCAGGGUAUAGACCCGAAACCCGGUGAUCUAGCCAUGGGCAGGUUGAAGGUUGGGUAACACUAACUGGAGGACCGAACCGACUAAUGUUGAAAAAUUAGCGGAUGACUUGUGGCUGGGGGUGAAAGGCCAAUCAAACCGGGAGAUAGCUGGUUCUCCCCGAAAGCUAUUUAGGUAGCGCCUYGUGAACUCAUCUUCGGGGG